This 498-nucleotide long non-coding RNA is filed under the name Malus domestica (apple). RNAcentral describes it as "long non-coding RNA (MDOM_LNC010563)". Lineage: Eukaryota; Viridiplantae; Streptophyta; Magnoliopsida; Rosales; Rosaceae. The record is from RNAcentral.
GAAGAAGCAGGAGAAGGCUGUCUUGGAGCUGAAGAGAAGGCUGCCUUUGGGCAGCGUGAGAAGGUCAGGCGCGGAACAGAAAAAUAAUUGGGGGAGAGAAGAGACUGACGCGGGGGUUGAAAGGGCAGGUCAGAAAAGAGAGCUGCCCUAGGCAGCGUGUCAGAAGGGAGAAAGGAAAGACAGUAGGUGGGAGAAGGGAACGGACAGAAAAAUAAUAGGGAGGACUGGACAGCAGCAAAAACGGAAAAAUAGGAGGGGCAAGUCAGAGGAAGAGAGGGAGGUGAGGACAGCCAAGAGAGCUCAGAGGAAAGAACAUAUAAAAAAAUUGCUUUGCGCAGCGUGACAGGGGAGGGCAGUGAGCCUCGGGGAGGAAGACAGACAGAAGCAGCAAGCACUCUCCUCUCUCGGUUAAAUCUUUCCAAACUUCUAUUUUAUUUCUGUUUUAAUAAUGUGUAAUUAAAUUUAUUUUGGCUAGAGGUUAAUUCAAAGCCAUGAAUA